This 2861-nucleotide ribosomal RNA is filed under the name Salmonella enterica. RNAcentral's name for it is "bacterial LSU rRNA". It matches the Rfam family "Bacterial large subunit ribosomal RNA". The record is from RNAcentral. Lineage: Bacteria; Pseudomonadati; Pseudomonadota; Gammaproteobacteria; Enterobacterales; Enterobacteriaceae.
AGCGUACACGGUGGAUGCCCUGGCAGUCAGAGGCGAUGAAGGACGUGCUAAUCUGCGAUAAGCGCCGGUAAGGUGAUAUGAACCGUUAUAACCGGCGAUUUCCGAAUGGGGAAACCCAGUGUGAUUCGUCACACUAUCAUUAACUGAAUCCAUAGGUUAAUGAGGCGAACCGGGGGAACUGAAACAUCUAAGUACCCCGAGGAAAAGAAAUCAACCGAGAUUCCCCCAGUAGCGGCGAGCGAACGGGGAGGAGCCCAGAGCCUGAAUCAGCAUGUGUGUUAGUGGAAGCGUCUGGAAAGGUGCGCGAUACAGGGUGACAGCCCCGUACACAAAAGCGCAUGUGCUGUGAGCUCGAUGAGUAGGGCGGGACACGUGGUAUCCUGUCUGAAUAUGGGGGGACCAUCCUCCAAGGCUAAAUACUCCUGACUGACCGAUAGUGAACCAGUACCGUGAGGGAAAGGCGAAAAGAACCCCGGCGAGGGGAGUGAAAAAGAACCUGAAACCGUGUACGUACAAGCAGUGGGAGCACAGGUUUACCUGUGUGACUGCGUACCUUUUGUAUAAUGGGUCAGCGACUUAUAUUCUGUAGCAAGGUUAACCGUAUAGGGGAGCCGGAGGGAAACCGAGUCUUAACCGGGCGUUAAGUUGCAGGGUAUAGACCCGAAACCCGGUGAUCUAGCCAUGGGCAGGUUGAAGGUUGGGUAACACUAACUGGAGGACCGAACCGACUAAUGUUGAAAAAUUAGCGGAUGACCUGUGGCUGGGGGUGAAAGGCCAAUCAAACCGGGAGAUAGCUGGUUCUCCCCGAAAGCUAUUUAGGUAGCGCCUCGUGAAUUCAUCUCCGGGGGUAGAGCACUGUUUCGGCUAGGGGGCCAUCCCGGCUUACCAACCCGAUGCAAACUGCGAAUACCGGAGAAUGUUAUCACGGGAGACACACGGCGGGUGCUAACGUCCGUCGUGAAGAGGGAAACAACCCAGACCGCCAGCUAAGGUCCCAAAGUCAUGGUUAAGUGGGAAACGAUGUGGGAAGGCCCAGACAGCCAGGAUGUUGGCUUAGAAGCAGCCAUCAUUUAAAGAAAGCGUAAUAGCUCACUGGUCGAGUCGGCCUGCGCGGAAGAUGUAACGGGGCUAAACCAUGCACCGAAGCUGCGGCAGCGAACGUAUCACCCAAGACAACUUUACGGAGUUGACGAUUGACGGAGCGAAGCGACGUCAAAGCGUUCAUUAAAGUCGAGUUGGCUUAGGGAUACGUUCGUUGGGUAGGGGAGCGUUCUGUAAGCCUGUGAAGGUGUGUCGUGAGGCAUGCUGGAGGUAUCAGAAGUGCGAAUGCUGACAUAAGUAACGAUAAAGCGGGUGAAAAGCCCGCUCGCCGGAAGACCAAGGGUUCCUGUCCAACGUUAAUCGGGGCAGGGUGAGUCGACCCCUAAGGCGAGGCCGAAAGGCGUAGUCGAUGGGAAACGGGUUAAUAUUCCCGUACUUGGUGUUACUGCGAAGGGGGGACGGAGAAGGCUAUGUUGGCCGGGCGACGGUUGUCCCGGUUUAAGCGUGUAGGUGUGUGUUCCAGGUAAAUCCGGUUCACUUUAACACUGAGGCGUGAUGACGAGGCACUACGGUGCUGAAGCAACAAAUGCCCUGCUUCCAGGAAAAGCCUCUAAGCAUCAGGUAACAUCAAAUCGUACCCCAAACCGACACAGGUGGUCAGGUAGAGAAUACCAAGGCGCUUGAGAGAACUCGGGUGAAGGAACUAGGCAAAAUGGUGCCGUAACUUCGGGAGAAGGCACGCUGACACGUAGGUGAAGUGAUUUACUCACGGAGCUGAAGUCAGUCGAAGAUACCAGCUGGCUGCAACUGUUUAUUAAAAACACAGCACUGUGCAAACACGAAAGUGGACGUAUACGGUGUGACGCCUGCCCGGUGCCGGAAGGUUAAUUGAUGGGGUCAGCGUAAGCGAAGCUCCUGAUCGAAGCCCCGGUAAACGGCGGCCGUAACUAUAACGGUCCUAAGGUAGCGAAAUUCCUUGUCGGGUAAGUUCCGACCUGCACGAAUGGCGUAAUGAUGGCCAGGCUGUCUCCACCCGAGACUCAGUGAAAUUGAACUCGCUGUGAAGAUGCAGUGUACCCGCGGCAAGACGGAAAGACCCCGUGAACCUUUACUAUAGCUUGACACUGAACAUUGAGCCUUGAUGUGUAGGAUAGGUGGGAGGCUUUGAAGUGUGGACGCCAGUCUGCAUGGAGCCGACCUUGAAAUACCACCCUUUAAUGUUUGAUGUUCUAACGUGGACCCGUAAUCCGGGUUGCGGACAGUGUCUGGUGGGUAGUUUGACUGGGGCGGUCUCCUCCUAAAGAGUAACGGAGGAGCACGAAGGUUGGCUAAUCCUGGUCGGACAUCAGGAGGUUAGUGCAAUGGCAUAAGCCAGCUUGACUGCGAGCGUGACGGCGCGAGCAGGUGCGAAAGCAGGUCAUAGUGAUCCGGUGGUUCUGAAUGGAAGGGCCAUCGCUCAACGGAUAAAAGGUACUCCGGGGAUAACAGGCUGAUACCGCCCAAGAGUUCAUAUCGACGGCGGUGUUUGGCACCUCGAUGUCGGCUCAUCACAUCCUGGGGCUGAAGUAGGUCCCAAGGGUAUGGCUGUUCGCCAUUUAAAGUGGUACGCGAGCUGGGUUUAGAACGUCGUGAGACAGUUCGGUCCCUAUCUGCCGUGGGCGCUGGAGAACUGAGGGGGGCUGCUCCUAGUACGAGAGGACCGGAGUGGACGCAUCACUGGUGUUCGGGUUGUCAUGCCAAUGGCACUGCCCGGUAGCUAAAUGCGGAAGAGAUAAGUGCUGAAAGCAUCUAAGCACGAAACUUGCCCCGAGAUGAGUUCU